Molecule: transfer RNA, 65 nt
Filed under: Mytilisepta virgata
Lineage: Eukaryota; Metazoa; Mollusca; Bivalvia; Mytilida; Mytilidae
Description: tRNA-Asn
Rfam family: tRNA
About the family: Transfer RNA (tRNA) molecules are approximately 80 nucleotides in length. Their secondary structure includes four short double-helical elements and three loops (D, anti-codon, and T loops).
Source: RNAcentral
GAACUAGUAGUUUAAUGAAGAAUGCUUGAUUGUUAAUCAAAUGGUGAGUAAUAACUCUUGGUUUA